Panicum virgatum (switchgrass) is the source of this 149-nucleotide small nucleolar RNA. RefSeq annotates it as small nucleolar RNA snoR74. The record is from RefSeq and is a predicted model, not a curated record. The transcript has a single exon. Lineage: Eukaryota; Viridiplantae; Streptophyta; Magnoliopsida; Poales; Poaceae.
GAAAAGGCAGGGUGUUGUGCUCUCUACUAGCAGUGCCCCCGUAAACUUUAGGGACACCAUUUCAUCGUUAUUGGGUGAACCUCCGGAGUUCGGACUCUUUCAUGUGUUGGACGAACAUGUCCGUUGGUUCAGUAAAUGAUGGCACAUUU